CCACAGUUGGACCCUCAGCCACCCCAGCUAAUAAUUCUAAUUUAAUAGAGAAUUCCACAGCUGAUCCCUUACCCAUCCCAGCUAAUAACUCUAAUCCAUCAGGUACCAUUGUUCAACUGUAGCUUGAAAUAUAUCUUGGAAUAUAUCUUUCUCCA
RNAcentral lists this long non-coding RNA (155 nucleotides) under Astyanax mexicanus (Mexican tetra). Its description in RNAcentral is "lncRNA (ENSAMXG00005017934.1)". The record is from RNAcentral. Lineage: Eukaryota; Metazoa; Chordata; Actinopteri; Characiformes; Acestrorhamphidae.